CAGGAUUGUAGCUGUUAAGCCUGCGGUGUAGGGGACAGGGAUGGGGUUUAGCCCCUGUGCCUGCCUGGCCCCUUCCCCAGGGCGUGGGCCCCAGACACGUGUGUGAGGAGUCAUUGCUGAACCUGUCUCGUGCUCCAGCCUGGGUAGCAGUGGGGAGCUGGAGGGGGGGGAGGCGGGAGGGGAUGGGGGGGGUAGCACAUGCCUCCAGCUCCUGGAUUUUUCUGCUGUUUUUUCGCUAUAAAUAAGGGACUGCUGACUGGAGCCCCGAGCCCUGCUUGUCUUUACAGGCUGCAGGAACAUGACUGUGGAAAGUCAAGUAAUUAAAUCUGUGCACUCUGGAUUCUGGCAGGGAUGAGCUCUAGAAGUUCCAACAUUGACCAAGAUUGAUGUUCUCCUUGUGUCUUUGGUGGAGACGAGGAUGCUCGUGUGAGUCUAUUCUGGGGUAUUCAGAGAGGACUAACAUGGCUACAACAACACAACAAACAAAACUGGGAUAUUCCAGCUUCCGAUAAGCAGACAGAGGCUGUCAGAUACCAAUCCAAAUAGGACCCUGAACUCCAAAAAUAAGCCUGGAUCCCAACUUCAUAUCCCUACAAACUGCAGCAAAAUCCUACUUUAGCUGUUUUUUCUCAACACAACCUUAACCAUGGACUUGCUACCUACGCCUCCAUAAUAACAAGCCAAAAGUAAUUCCCGGGUUUGACACAUUUCUCUGUAUGUGGGUUUGAAAUUUGCAACUAAACUUUCCCAAAACUUGGAGUGUUGACAUUUAGCCAUUAGAGGGAUCUGAGCUGCAGCCUCCGAUCAGAACCCAGGGUUUGGAUUCAGCGUUCUGGCUCACACCCAUCGCUUUGAUCAUCCUUCAUUAUUGGGGAUGGAUAGACAGCAAGCAUUCCAGCUCUCAGAAUCUUUUGGGUGGGUUUCAGGAUCUCUUCUUCCCCGGUCUGGGAUCUAGGAUCGGAAGGGAACAGUGCCCUAUGUUUAACAUCCCUGGAGAUUUCCUGAUUGUUCAAGGAUAGACAGAGGAGUCCUGAACUAUAUUUCAUCAGCAAAGUGGCACUGGGCUCCCUGACGGAGUUGCCUUACCAGAAAGCCUUACUGGCCAUGGAGAGGCAGCCAGUAGUUCUAGAUGUCAGUGAGUAUUUUGUUUGUCAUAAACUCCAGCUCUAUGAAGCUGAAAUCCCACCUGGGCUCUAUGGGGCUCGUGUGUUCUCAUCACUCAAUUCCCUUUUCAAAGGAGUUUCCCCAGCAGGAGUGAUAUUACCGUGUUAGCCAUAGGGAGUCUCAUAGCAAUGGCACAUCCAGGCAUGGGGGCAUGAAGAGACUUUCCCAAGGCCACACAGCAGCCCACCAGCAGAGGUAGGAAUAGAAAUCCUGUGUCCCAGGCCUGUGCUCUAUCCAUUAGGCCACACUGCCUCCCUUUGGUUAAAGGGGAAUUCACUGGAACAAACCUUUCUUCUAAUAGGAGGGGUGUGUGUGUGUGUGAGAGAGAGAGAUCUUGUCCUUUCACAGGCGUUGCUCAGGGUCCAUUGGGGUGAGUUGUAUAACGUGCUUGCUAGAAGAGUUGACUUUCCACCCACCCCCACUGCCUCCUCCCCCUCCUCCCUUUGAGCUAUGCCAAAAUAAAUACGCUUCAGUUUCACCAAUCUCCUUGCCUCAGAUCAAAGGCGGAGUGGCUAGCUGCGCUCUUCCCCUGCAGGCUGAGGGGGUUAAUCACACACAGGCUGGUGUAAGUGAUGCAUCUGCGUGGCUGAGACAUGUUCCAGACAGGGGCUGUUUGGGUUAAUUUAGCCCAGAACAAAACUCGGCUGCCUUCCUUUGCAUUGCCCCUUCAUGGAUUCACCACUGACAUUUUUAUUUCUUUGGGUUACAAGACACAGCUGAGAUCAUGGUUCCCCCAUCGUGCUAGGCACUGUACAAACUCACAGUGGGAAACGCUGCUAUUCUUUAUUUAUAUUUUAUAUAGCAGGAACAUCUAGGAGCUAGUCCUGGACCAGGACUCCUUGUCCUAGGUGCUCUUCAAACACAGAACGAAAGGAUGGCCCUUGCCUUAAAGAGUUUACAAUCUACGUAGAAGACAAGAGACAACAGGUGAACACAGACAGGAGGAAUACAAAGAAACAAGGAGACAGUGUUGGUUGGUAGGACGGGCAGUGAUCUCCACAUGCCUGCAGUCUAACUGUUGUCCAGUUUUUUGUAGGCACCGUGGAAAAGGAGUUUUAAGGAGGGAUUUGAAGGAGAAUAAUGACCCAAAGGAUUCACAGUCUAAUCUGAGCACCCAAGGGUGAAGUGCUGGGACUGUCUAGGUGUGGCUCACAGCACUGAGCUGCUAGAGACAAGUUUUUCAUGGUUUGAUUUAUUUGCACCAUCAAAGAAUUCAUUGUCAUUUUCACACAACACACAGUCAACCUGUGGAACUCCUUGUCAGAGGAUUCUGUGAAGGCCAAGACUAUAAC
Chrysemys picta bellii (western painted turtle) is the source of this 2456-nucleotide long non-coding RNA. RefSeq lists it as uncharacterized. Lineage: Eukaryota; Metazoa; Chordata; Testudines; Emydidae. The record is from RefSeq and is a predicted model, not a curated record.